This 406-nucleotide unclassified non-coding RNA is filed under the name soil metagenome. RNAcentral describes it as "partial contains 5.8S ribosomal RNA, internal transcribed spacer 2, and large subunit ribosomal RNA". The stretch from base 1 to 120 matches the Rfam family "5.8S ribosomal RNA", at positions 35 to 154 of the family's 154-position model. The record is from RNAcentral.
GAUGAAGAACGUAGUGAAAUGCGAUAAGUAAUGUGAAUUGCAGAAUUCAGUGAACCAUCGAGUCUUUGAACGCACAUUGCGCCCCAUGGUAUUCCGUGGGGCAUGCCCGUCUCAGCGUCAGCGAAAUCCAUCAAGCCAAGGCCUUUUGUGUGGCCCGGUUUGGAUGUCUGUCAGGGAGGCAGUUGCGGCGUCGGCCGCCUGCCCCUUGGAAAACUAUUGAACGGCCAGGCUGAAGUAGCCGCCUGCUGUUGCCGGACGCGAUAAGCAGAUCACCUCGUCCGGCCGACGAGCAGGUUUAACGGACCGUCAGCCCACAAAUAUUUUUUAUUUUUUAUUUUUAUUUUGGACUUGACCUGAGAUCGGGUAGGAGUACCCGCUGAACUUAAGCAUAUCAAUAAGCGGAGGA